This 301-nucleotide ribosomal RNA is filed under the name uncultured bacterium. RNAcentral's name for it is "partial 16S ribosomal RNA". It matches the Rfam family "Bacterial small subunit ribosomal RNA", at positions 509 to 807 of the family's 1533-position model. The record is from RNAcentral.
CAGCAGCCGCGGUAAUACAGAGGGUGCGAGCGUUAAUCGGAUUUACUGGGCGUAAAGCGUGCGUAGGCGGCUUCUUAAGUUGGAUGUGAAAUCCCUGAGCUUAACUUAGGAAUUGCAUUCGAUACUGGGAAGCUAGAGUAUGGGAGAGGAUGGUAGAAUUCCAGGUGUAGCGGUGAAAUGCGUAGAGAUCUGGAGGAAUACCGAUGGCGAAGGCAGCCAUCUGGCCUAAUACUGACGCUGAGGUACGAAAGCAUGGGGAGCAAACAGGAUUAGAUACCCCUGUAGUCCCUGUCUCUUAUAC